Long non-coding RNA from Oxyura jamaicensis (ruddy duck), 823 nucleotides. RefSeq lists it as uncharacterized. The transcript has 3 exons. Lineage: Eukaryota; Metazoa; Chordata; Aves; Anseriformes; Anatidae. The record is from RefSeq and is a predicted model, not a curated record.
GCGUGGUUUCACUAUUGCAAUGUUCUGGGCAGGCUUGCUGCGUGGGGCUACCAGGCCUGUAAUUCCCCAAGCAGCGAGAGCUGCUUCUUGCGAGGCAAGCAAGAUUUCAUUUUUGCUCAAAAAGCAUUUUUUGCACCUCCUUAUUGUGGAGGAAAGAGCAAAGAAUAGAGCUUUGGGAAUCUGGUUGUUAUCAGAGCCAGUAAAAUUAAAGUUGAGUGACCUCGGAGGCCUGAACGUGCUGCAGAUAUUGGAACUUCAUUUCAGUGCCGCUAAUAUGAAUGCAGCUAUCUAUGGGGACUGAUAAAACAUACCUUCUAAAUCACCUUUGUGGUUGAUACAGUGAUUCUUACUCCGACAGAGUUCCUAUGAGCUUGGCAAAAGCUUGGGUGUACAGCCCAAAACCCAAUCAUCCUUAUGGCACUAAAAGAAAAAUCUUAGAGGGAGCGAGUAAUAGCUGAGCUUGGGAGCAUAUCCUUCAAAGGCUCUGUGCAAGUGUGUGGGCUAAAAUCUAGACCUUUUUAGGAAAAAUGUGACACUCGUGAAGAUACUGGUGUUGAAUUAUGACUUAAUUCUUCUUCAUGAACUUGCCUUUGAAAAUGUGAUUCUUGAACUCCAUUUCUACCUUGUGAAACAGCUAAGAGUCAUAUGUCCUGGACAGUUAGCUUUAAAAAACAAGCAGAUUUUCAUGACUAUUCACAAUAAUCACAUUCAAGAGGUAUUAUUGCAAAAUUAAUUACAUUGAUUCUGUCAGAUCUAGGGUUUUUUUUUUGUUUUGUUUUGUUUUUUCUUUUAAGCUGCUGCAUUAGCUAAUGGAGUAUUCACA